GGUGGAAACCCGGGUUUCCCGACCCUGGCACCGAAGGCUGGGGCUGCCCUUCCCCGCCCUACCGCUCACGGUGGCUGCAAAGCGCCCUGGGAGGCCAGCCCAAAGGCCGGGCUUGGGAAGCGCCUCGCUUACCUGCGGCUCCACCAGCCAGCGCUGCUCGGCGGCGCCCAGGGGCGCGGGGCGCGCGGCGCGGAACGCCGAGUACACGGGGAUACGGUCCCGGGUGCUGUACAGGGUGGCGAAGCGCUCGGCGCCCUCGGAGCGCUGACAGAUCUUCACGUGGGCAGCGGCCGCCAGCCCCGCGGGCGGGGUCCCAGCGUAGAAGAAUCGGUCGCAUUCGCCGAAGCCGGCUUCCUGCUCGCGCACGAGUCGGCCCUCCAACAGCCCGGCCAGAGCGAGGAGGCCGCCCAGCGCCAAGCAGCGCGCGGGGCCCAUGGCGCGUCUGCGGGCCGGGCCGGGAGAGCGCGAGGCCGCCGAGCGGGGCCGCGGCGGAGUCGGAAGCCGGGGGCGGCGCGGCUGAGCUAGCGCUCUGCGGGCCGGGCUGGGCGGCCCCGGCGACGGGGGCGGGUCCGCGUCCCGAGGCCGCGCCUCCCUCGCACCCUCCUCCCUGAAGAUGGCUGCGCAGGUCCGGGGCCGGGCGCGGGGACUUGCACCGCCUGGUUUCUGCAGUCUGCGGUCGGAGGCUCGGGGACGCGCGCUCCCAAGACUAAAAGGUAUGAACCGGGUCGGCUUAAUCGGAGGAAACGGGAAAGAACCGUCCCCGGGGCUGGGAGCCUAGAAGCCUCCUGCGCCAGCGCGCCCCAGGGAUCCUCAAGGAUGCAAAGAGGCGGCGUGAGAUGCCCUCAGAACUGUGGCUCUUUGGGUCUGAUGGGCAGGGAGACCCAGUGACACCCGACGGAAAUCAGCCUUCCCCUUCCCAACGAAAUGCUCAUCCGCCAAUACACGGACACAACUUUGAUGAAGUUUCAGCAGAUCAGAAGCCAGGAGACCCAAGUUAAAAAUCCUCUUCUAGGAAAUUCCUAACCUAGGGAAAUAGGACAGCUCUUGUGGUUUACUUGGUACUGCGAGGCUUAGAAUCAAAACCAAAACCAAGAAAGAAACGAGACCGGCCAACAUCACUGGUUGUGUGCCAUGUGGGGAACUGGACCAGAGCGUUCAGAUGCUUGUCCAAGAUGGCAUAUCCUGAGCCAGAUUUGAGCUAGGCCCGUCUGCUUCCUAAGCCUGGCCUUUCCUCUAAGUCACAGCAAAUCCAUGAGAUAUACUCACAUCAGCGCCAUGGUAACUCCAACAUUGCUGAUUGCAUCACAAUGGAAUCCAACUGGCUCUUCCAACUGUCUACUAAAAGGCCUCCUUUUUAAAGUUAUCAGCCCACGAAAGACAGUGUGCCACGUGGGGAACUGGACCAGAGCAUUCAGAUGCUUGUCCAAGAUGGCAUAAUCAGUGAGUCCUGAGCCAGAUUUGAGGCAGGCCCGUCUGCUUCCUAGGCCUGGCCUUUCCUCUAAGUCACAGCAAAUCCAUGAGCUUGUGGGAUCUUAGUUCCGUGACCAGGGAUCGAACCCAGUCCCCCUACAGUGGAAGCAUGGAGUCCUAAUCAUUGGACCACAAGGGAAUUCCCUGAUUGUGCAUAUUAAUCCCAGUAUUUCCCCUGUACCUAAUUGCUACCUUCCUCCUCAGACAUAAACAUAGUGCCUGCUAUACAGUAAGUAUUCAAUACAGUGAGUAAAUAAAUGAAUAAAAGAAAGGGAAAAAAAUCCCUUCCAUGAAAUUUCAUUUGGAGUCUCAUGGCUCUAGUUCAUUCAUUCAUUUUCAAAAUGUUUUAAAAACAUCUACCAUGAGCACUGGCUAGAUGCCGAGUGUUCAGGGAGGAACGAGGUUAGACUUGGUCCCUCUCUCAUGCCAGCACCUCGCAGGGCUCCAUGGGUAACCAGAAAAGAAAGCAGAAGUUAACUCAUGCUCUGCCUUAGACAGGGAAGGGCAAUGCUGGGGAACUUUCCCGCCACGAGUGAGUUCUGUAACGUAGAUUUCAUGCUGUGUCACCUCUAGCCCAGGGCAAGACAGAUACAGAACUUUGUACCACAGAACUUGAAGUAGUAGGGAAGACAGACAGACAGACCAGACAAAGGAGUUCUGAUACAGUGUGAGAAGCGCUCUUUAAGAGAGCUAUGUGCUAUGAGGGCAGAGAAGGGUCGCUGAAGCUAAUCUAGGGAGAAGUAGCUCUGGAAAGAGAGUAGCAAUGGGGUAAAAUCAUACUUAAUGAUGAGAUAUGUUGAAACUGUGGCUUGUAAACUGCAAUAAUGAUUCAAUUUCUAGGUCCCUGAAGCUACUUCUUAGUCACUCCUCUCUGUUGAUUGUCAAACACUUGUAUGAAAUUGACAGGUAAGGAGGAAUUAACCCUAUUUGGAUUAUGAGGAGAGGCAAGGAGGCUGAGGAGAAGCUCCUAUUUGGGUGAGGAUGCCUGAUUUAUUUUCCUAAUCAUGACUAAACGUAAGAAAGCAUACCAGGCUCAACCCUCAAGUGAGAAGCAGAAGGCCUCAGAGUCCAAAGUGGUGGUUGACACCGAAGCCCACCGGAGGCUGAAUCACGCUCUCCUGAAACUGUGGACAGAACUGUCUUCUUUCUAGCAAAGCUACACCUUGGAUGGUGUCUAGAAGUAACGCUAGACAACUGCAGUCCUCAUAGAAGGAGCCAUGUGUCCACAGGCGCACUCUCACCCCAUGAGCGUGCACUAAAACAGACAUAUGGUCCAUAGAACUCCUGAGCACUUCCGGAUUGCUCAGCUUUGGGAUAUUGGUCCAGAUGUUAGGGGACAACUGCAGACAGGAAUAACUUUGAGUCUCCUCAUGCAGAGAAAUAUUUAAAAUAACUUUUCUGAAACUUUUUUUUUUUGGCUUUCCUUAUCUGCAGGGAGAAGAGUGUGGUGGUUAUGAGCUGGGCCCUGGAGUUCGACUGUCUGGGUGCAAAUGCUGUGUGAUCCUGGGCACAUUGUGGAACCUCCCUAUGCCUCAGUUUUCUCAUCUACAAAAUGAGGAUAAGGAUAGAACCUACCUCCUAGAGUUGUUUUAAUUAUGACAACGUGCAUUAAUAUACCAGGAAAGAGAGAAGCUGCUCUUCAUACUUGGCCUGGAGUUGGUGGAAGCAUCUGGUACCCAUCCCUUUAUCUUAGCCAAGAUCUCAGAAAGAACCCGCUAUCCCUAAGAGAAGAUGCAAUAAACACAUUUUCUAAAUACCAGCAAGUUUCCAGUGAUGCUCUAGUGAACCUUGGAGACUGGUUCUAUAAACAACUCCUAAGCCUCCCCUACCAACUUUAAUUCAGCUCCACUCUGGACCCCAAAAGGCGUUUAUUCAGAUGGCAGACACGCAGACAUGAGUGAAUGUUAUGUAUUUAGACAGGGGAACAAAAGGAGCUUCCCUGGCCUUUUGUUUCUUGCUGAUUGCGUGUUCCCUUUUCAAAUAUAUUCGACUGUCAACCAGAGAAAGCAGAACAUUCUGUUCUAAACUCCCACGUUAAAAAUUUUCUUCAUUUUGAAU
Balaenoptera ricei (Rice's whale) is the source of this 3528-nucleotide long non-coding RNA. RefSeq lists it as uncharacterized. NCBI's taxonomy places the organism in Eukaryota, Metazoa, Chordata, Mammalia, Artiodactyla, Balaenopteridae. The transcript is spliced from 7 exons. The record is from RefSeq and is a predicted model, not a curated record.